CACAUCAUUUUGAAACAUAGGUUCACGUACGAUCACAGAUGUUAAGCAAAGUCAAGCCUGGUCAGUACCUAGAUGGGUGUCCGCUUGGGAAUACCAAGUGCUGUAAG
Molecule: non-coding RNA, 107 nt
Organism: Acanthosepion pharaonis
Lineage: Eukaryota; Metazoa; Mollusca; Cephalopoda; Sepiida; Sepiidae
Source: the annotation of a GenBank genome assembly